Molecule: unclassified non-coding RNA, 334 nt
Filed under: uncultured fungus
Lineage: Eukaryota; Fungi
Description: sequence contains ITS1
Rfam family: 5.8S ribosomal RNA (bases 1-104)
Source: RNAcentral
GAAGUGCGAUAAGCAGUGCGAAUUGCAGAACCGUGAGUCAUCAGAUUUUUGAACGCAACUGGCGCCGUGUGGGGUCACCCACCGGCACGCCUGGUCCAGUGUCUUGUUCUCUCCUCACCCAAAUCUUAAUGCGAGAGAUGCCCUUCUCUUGCUAAGCAUGAAAGCACUCUGCACUCUGCGAGCAACCUUCGGGUUCGCACUCAAUGCAGCAGUCACAUUGCUCACAAUGUGAACUCAUUGAGAGUGGAGGCAGUGCAGCAAUAGCUGCCAGUGCUUAGAAACACCAACUUAGGUACAGUAUCUGGGCUCAGGUGGGACUACCCGCUGAACUUAA